This is a small nuclear RNA of Sorex fumeus (smoky shrew), 110 nucleotides long. NCBI's taxonomy places the organism in Eukaryota, Metazoa, Chordata, Mammalia, Eulipotyphla, Soricidae. The record is from RefSeq and is a predicted model, not a curated record.
GUACUCCUACUAGGUUUGAUAACACAUAUACUAAAAUUGAAAUGAUACAAUGAUGAGCAUGGUCCUUGCACAGAGAUAUCAUGCAAACUUGUAAAGCAUUCCAUAUUUUU